UCCGAGUUGACCCCGGCAGUCUCCUGCGAGUCCCCGCCAUUACGCGCUGGCAACACAGGACAAGGGUUGCGCUCGUUGCGGGACUUAACCCAACAUCUCACGACACGAGCUGACGACAGCCAUGCAGCAUCUGUGGUGCACCCUCGAAGGUCACACGUUUCCGUGCGCUUGCAGCACCAUGUCAAGCCCAGGUAAGGUGGGGAUGACGUGGAACGGUUGGUU
This 222-nucleotide unclassified non-coding RNA is filed under the name uncultured Actinomycetes bacterium. RNAcentral's name for it is "uncultured actinobacterium contains 16S-23S intergenic spacer region". Lineage: Bacteria; Bacillati; Actinomycetota; Actinomycetes. The record is from RNAcentral.